GACGUAGGUGGCGAACGUUAUCCGGAAUUACUGGGCGUAAAGCGUGCUCAGGCGGUUUGUUAAGUCCGCUGUGAAAUCCCCGAGCUCAACUUGGGAAUUGCAGUGGAUACUGGCAAGCUGGAGUAUGGUAGAGGAAGGUGGAAUUCCCGGUGUAGCAGUGAAAUGCGUAGAGAUCGGGAGGAACACCAGUGGCGAAGGCGGCCUUCUGGACCAAUACUGACGCUCAUGCACGAAAGCGUGGGGAGCAAACAGG
This 253-nucleotide ribosomal RNA is filed under the name uncultured bacterium. Its description in RNAcentral is "partial 16S ribosomal RNA". It matches the Rfam family "Bacterial small subunit ribosomal RNA", at positions 524 to 776 of the family's 1533-position model. The record is from RNAcentral.